GAUGAACGCUGGCGGCGUGCCUAAUACAUGCAAGUCGAGCGAACAGAUGAGGAGCUUGCUCCUCUGACGUUAGCGGCGGACGGGUGAGUAACACGUGGAUAACCUACCUAUAAGACUGGGAUAACUUCGGGAAACCGGAGCUAAUACCGGAUAAUAUAUUGAACCGCAUGGUUCAAUAGUGAAAGACGGUUUUGCUGUCACUUAUAGAUGGAUCCGCGCCGCAUUAGCUAGUUGGUAAGGUAACGGCUUACCAAGGCAACGAUGCGUAGCCGACCUGAGAGGGUGAUCGGCCACACUGGAACUGAGACACGGUCCAGACUCCUACGGGAGGCAGCAGUAGGGAAUCUUCCGCAAUGGGCGAAAGCCUGACGGAGCAACGCCGCGUGAUUGAUGAAGGUCUUCGGAUCUUAAAACUCUGUUAUUAGGGAAGAACAAAUGUGUAAGUAACUAUGCACGUCUUGACGGUACCUAAUCAGAAAGCCACGGCUAACUACGUG
RNAcentral lists this ribosomal RNA (497 nucleotides) under uncultured bacterium. Its description in RNAcentral is "partial 16S ribosomal RNA". It matches the Rfam family "Bacterial small subunit ribosomal RNA", at positions 28 to 507 of the family's 1533-position model. The record is from RNAcentral.